CCCCACUGUUUACCAAUGUUCUAAACUACAAACAGGACACACGUUCUUCUCAAGACACCCGAUAUCACUCUCCAUAUAAGGAAACAAUUUGUACUUCUUACAUUGAAGGUGUUCCUUGUUUGUAUACGAUUUCCGUUUUUGUUUGUUCAUCUUAAAGAGAGGCGGGAGAUAUCAGAGGGAUAUUAAAACUCAUAAAUCGAAAAUAAGCUUACAACGCCAAGCCCAUGGUUAAAAAAGAAAAAUACAAACAAUAGUACACAAAAUACAAAAUAGCAAAAUAAAGACUAAGCAACACGAACCCCACCAAAAACUGAGGGUGAUCUCAAGGUGCUUCGGAAGGGUAACUAAACCCUGCUCCACAUAUGACAUGACCUCUAAGACGUUAAACAGUGGCUGCAGACACAGCGGGAUAUAUUCAAAACUGAUAAGUAAAAGAAACCGCGAACACUGUUAUGCUAAAAAACAAAUAACGACAAAUCAAAACCCGAACGAGUCCAUAAAUUGAAAAUUGAAGAUUGAGCAUCAUGCUAAAAGGUAACAAUAAGGAUGUACGAAGCAGGAUUUAUCAAAUCCCAUGAAAUUAAAUUUUCCAUUAAAUAUCUAAACGGCUGUAAAAAUUGAAAAAAAAACUGUUUGAAUUAGUGGCAUGACAGUUAUUGCUAAUAGUUUGUUUCCUUUGAAGAUAAAGCCAAG
RNAcentral lists this long non-coding RNA (693 nucleotides) under Mytilus galloprovincialis (Mediterranean mussel). Lineage: Eukaryota; Metazoa; Mollusca; Bivalvia; Mytilida; Mytilidae. The record is from RNAcentral.